This is a small nuclear RNA of Bacillus rossius redtenbacheri, 107 nucleotides long. The record is from RefSeq and is a predicted model, not a curated record. NCBI's taxonomy places the organism in Eukaryota, Metazoa, Arthropoda, Insecta, Phasmatodea, Bacillidae.
GUAUUCGCUUUGGCGGUACAUUUACUAAAACUGGAACUAUAUAGAGAAGAUUAGACUGGCCCCUGUGCAAGAAUGAUAUGCUAAAUCGUUAGGUAUUCCACAUAUUC